AUGGAUGCUGCGCUGGAGCAGGGAGCUGGAGUUGGAGUAUCUGCAGGAAGCUGUAGAGCUGCAACAAAGGCAACCUCAAAAGUCAGUGCUGAGACUGCUGGGAAUGGCAGUAUGGAGUCUGGUGAACAGAAAAUGGCCACUGAUGCUGAGGAGCCAGGUUGCUACAUUGCACUGGAAGAGACAGCAUGGAGUUAAAGCAUUCUCCAAUGGAGGCAAGAAAUGAGAGGCCGGUGAGUGAGGGGGUAGUGGGAGCAGAGACUGUGCUGCCAGGUGAGGGGGAGGCUGAAGUAGAGACUGCACUGACCAGUAAUGGAGGGACUGUCAUACAAACUGCAUUGCAAGGUGCAGAGACUGUCAUAGAAUAUGAGAAGAUCAUUAAAUCUCUAAGAGACUUAAACUGUUGGGAGAGUAAACAGAUUUCUCUGACUAAAGGCAUUGACAGCUGAACCUGCUAACUGGGGAAAGCAGAGGCAAGGCUAUAAUUGGCUUUUGUAAACAAGGAGUCGGAGGAGACUGACCUGCAAAUGAAAGACAUUUACACUAUAUUGAGCCAUGAAAAGAACUCUAUGAUAAUAAGGGGAUACAGGAGGGUGGAGGAAAUGUUGCAUCAGUGAGAAUAAUGAAAGUUACACAGCUGCUAAAGGAAAAUGUAUCAGUGCAAAGUUCUCCUACAAAUAGUUCUGUUUCUGUGGGUCAGUGUAUUGGCUCAGGUGAGCUGAAUAAUCCACUAAAUGGCAGGGGGAGGGGCAGCUGGGAGGGAGGGGCAGCUGGGAGGGAGGGGCUGCUAGGAGGGAGGGGCUGCAGGCAGGUGAGGGAGCAGCAAGGUGUUUCUCUGCCUGGGGGUCUCAGUGCAACUGCUCCAGGUAUGUCUGCAGUGGGAAAGGGGGCAAAUGCUUCAUCUGGAGAGAUCACAAAUGUUACACAGACUGUCCCUAGGCCAAGUUCUGAUGUUAAUGCUGCUCUUACUUUGGAUCAUGGUACUGCCCUAGGUGGGUUACAUGAUGGGGUGCAUGGUGGGGGGGAGGGGCAGCUGGGAGUGAGUGAUUACAGGCAGGUGAGUGCAAGUGAGAGUGAGCAGCAAGGUGUCUCUCUGCCUGGGGGUCUUUGUGCAACUGCUUCAGGAAUAUCUGUUGGGAGAGAGGGGGCAAAAGCGUCUGUUUGAUGUGAAUGCAGAUGAGUAACCCUGUACUUCACAUGGCAGUGGGUACUAAUGGGUUAAUCGCUGGUCACAUGAUACGCAGGAAAUAGAAUAAGUUUGAAUCCCAGCCCCCCCCACUCUAUCCUUAUUUUCCUGCGCGUGAGCUCAUCCCAAUACCAGCAGGGUCUCUGGCCUGUGACUGCUGAAGCUCCAGGGUUAAAUAAAUGUAUCUUAUCCAGACCAUGGCCUUCCGUUGCCGGUACCUCGCAGUAAGUCGCAUGCUGGUUCAACUGGCGCAGUAAGUCGAUGGUUGUAUUCGAAAUGAUUUGAGAAUGCAAACGAGGACAAGUGCUCUCCUCAGUUAUGGGAAGUUCUAGUUAAGUGGAUGAGCUGCAGGAGAAUAUCAGAGUGACUUUGAUAUAUCUGGAGAAAUUCAGCUUCUUGGGAGGAACCUGCAUUAUGUGAAUCUCAUUGUCUGCUAAUUCGGAAAAAGAAGACCUAAAUGAACAUAGAACUGUAUUGUUCCAGCUUUUCCAUCUUAUUGGACUUCCUUUCAGUCUGCAGGGUCAUUUGCAUAUUGGAUCUGCCUGCAGUAUGAAAGAUAAUUGCAUCAAGUUAGAAAACAAAAGUUACCUCUAUUCCUGAUUCCCUUCAGUUUAUUGGAUUUACCUGCACCGUGCAGGUUAAUCUACAUCUUGUUAGAAAAACACCUAACUAAAGACUAGGUCUCUAUUGCUUCAAAUUUUGGAGUGUGCAAGAUAACUUGCAUCAAGUUCAGAAAACACUUACUGAGGAAUAUGUCUAUAUUAGCUGAUUACCUUCCAGUUUAUUGGAUUUGCCUGCAGUGUGUAAGGUCAUUUGCAUCUUGUUACAAGAGCACCUAACUGCUGAUUAGGUCCAUAUGACCUGAUUAACUUCCAGCUGAUUCUGCUUAAUGAUUUACCUGUAAUGUGCAAGAUAUUGUGCAUCUUGUUAAUAAAGCGACUAACUGAA
This is a long non-coding RNA of Xenopus laevis (African clawed frog), 2131 nucleotides long. RefSeq lists it as uncharacterized. NCBI's taxonomy places the organism in Eukaryota, Metazoa, Chordata, Amphibia, Anura, Pipidae. The record is from RefSeq and is a predicted model, not a curated record. The transcript has 2 exons.